RNAcentral lists this ribosomal RNA (253 nucleotides) under uncultured bacterium. RNAcentral describes it as "partial 16S ribosomal RNA". It matches the Rfam family "Bacterial small subunit ribosomal RNA", at positions 524 to 776 of the family's 1533-position model. The record is from RNAcentral.
UACGUAGGGUGCAAGCGUUGUCCGGAAUUAUUGGGCGUAAAGAGCUCGUAGGCGGUUUGUUGCGUCGGCUGUGAAAUCCCGAGGCUCAACCUCGGGUCUGCAGUCGAUACGAGCAAACUAGAGUGUUGCAGGGGAGACUGGAAUUCCUGGUGUAGUGGUGAAAUGCGUAGAGAUCCGGAGGAAUACCAGAGGCGAAGGCGGCAUCCAGGCCUGUUACUGACACUGAGACGCGAAAGCAUGGGGAGCGAACGGG